Molecule: small RNA, 708 nt
Filed under: Pongo abelii (Sumatran orangutan)
Lineage: Eukaryota; Metazoa; Chordata; Mammalia; Primates; Hominidae
Description: processed transcript
Source: RNAcentral
GCGGGUGCGUGUGGAGAGGCCCAGGUGAGGAGCCAGCGCCCGCGUUCCGGAAGCCCCCUCCCGGGGCCAUGGGGGCACAGGAUAUGUGCUGUCUCUGGUCUGUCCAAACUCCUCCCAGGCUUGGUGUGAGAUCACAAAUGUGUCACAGCUGCUGGCUUCUCCUGUGCUCUACACGGACCUGAAUUCCAGCAUAAACAAGUUGAGCAUUUCAGCAAAUGUAGAAAACAAAUACAGUCUUUAUGUGGGCUUGGUACUGGCAGUAAGCUCAAGUAUUUUUAUUGGCUCCAGCUUCAUACUGAAAAAGAAGGGCCUCUUGCAACUGGCCAGCAAGGGCAUUACUAGAGCUGGACAAGGUGGACAUUCUUACCUGAAGGAAUGGCUCUGGUGGGUAGGAUUGCUGUCAAUGGGAGCAGGAGAGGCUGCAAAUUUUGCUGCUUAUGCUUUUGCACCUGCCACCUUGGUCACCCCUCUGGGUGCUCUGAGUGUUCUCAUAAGUGCAAUAUUAUCUUCCUACUUUUUAAACGAGCACUUGAACAUUCAUGGGAAAAUAGGCUGCAUAUUAAGUAUAUUGGGGUCAACUGUGAUGGUUAUCCAUGCCCCACAAGAAGAGGAAGUCACAUCUUUGCAUGAAAUGGAAAUGAAAUUGAGAGACCCAGGGUUUAUUUCCUUUGCUGUGAUCGUAACUGUGAUCUCCUUGGUGCUCAUUUU